Molecule: ribosomal RNA, 483 nt
Filed under: uncultured bacterium
Lineage: Bacteria
Description: bacterial SSU rRNA
Rfam family: Bacterial small subunit ribosomal RNA
Source: RNAcentral
AUUGAACGCUGGCGGCAUGCUUUACACAUGCAAGUCGAGCGGCAGCGCGGGGGCAACCCUGGCGGCGAGCGGCGAACGGGUGAGUAAUGCAUCGGAACGUAUCCUGUAGUGGGGAAUAACUCACCGAAAGGUGAGCUAAUACCGCAUAAGCUCUGAGGAGGAAAGCGGGGGACCGAAAGGCCUCGCGCUGCAGGAGCGGCCGAUGUCCGAUUAGCUAGUUGGUGAGGUAAAGGCUCACCAAGGCGACGAUCGGUAGCUGGUCUGAGAGGAUGAUCAGCCACACUGGGACUGAGACACGGCCCAGACUCCUACGGGAGGCAGCAGUGGGGAAUAUUGGACAAUGGAGGAAACUCUGAUCCAGCCAUGCCGCGUGAUAGAUGAAGGCCCUCUGGGUUGCAAAUAUCUUUUAUCUGGGAAGAAACAAUCUUAUUCUUAAGAUCUUGACGGUACCAGAGGAAUAAGCACCGGCUAACUCCGUGCCAG